CUGAAUUUCCCACCUCUUUGUCACAAAUGUCUAAAGGAACUGUGAAUAAUGAACCUUCUAUUAUUACUUUUCCAUUUUCUAACUUUUGGCUUUUCAUUUCAGUGUAAUCUCUUCUAAGAAUGACUACUACGUAGCAUCCAGCGGUUUUGUCUGGCACAGGCAACAGAAAUUAUUUACAGUGUUGGGUCUGUCCUCCAUGGUUUCCCUUCAGCUUGUGGUCAAGCUGGCUGAAGAUAUCUCAUCUACAGGAAUGGAUUUAUCUAGAUCACAAGUAAGCAGAGAGGCAUACAGAGAGAGAGGAGGAAGCAGGCUCCCUGUGGAGCAGAGAACCUGAUGUGGGGCUCGAUCCCAGGACCCGGGGAUCAUGACCUGAGCCGAAGGCAGAGGCUUUAACCCACCGAGCCAACCAGGCACCCCUCAUCUUUCAAGUUUCUUACUGCUUCUUGCUCCCCAGCAAUUUUCUCAUUUGGCAACACCUUGAGAAGGCCUAAACACUUUCCUGUAUGAUAAAGCACGGCACCUUUGUCCUGUCACCCUAGGGAAUGUGUUAUAUAAGUCAAUGGAUAUGACUUGUGUGAUUUUCUCCCAAAUGAUUAAAACAGAGAAAUUGUAUAACUGUAUAGAUUUACUUAUAGAUUUAUAAACUGUAUAGUUUAUUUAUUGAGUCUCUGAUACCAGGCUAUACAUAUUAUUGAAUGUAUAAUUACAAACAUCAGAUUAGGAAUACUACUAUUGGAUAGAAUAUGUUGGUCUAAGAGGACAUUUAGUACCUUUCAAAUUGAUUAUAAAUGUUAAUGUUUUAAAUAUGCAAAAUGUAUGUAACUAUAUGUGUAGUUUAUAAUUAAGAGAACAUUCUUCCC
This 860-nucleotide long non-coding RNA is filed under the name Mustela putorius furo (domestic ferret). Its description in RNAcentral is "lncRNA (ENSMPUG00000027074.1)". The record is from RNAcentral. Lineage: Eukaryota; Metazoa; Chordata; Mammalia; Carnivora; Mustelidae.